RNAcentral lists this long non-coding RNA (419 nucleotides) under Setaria italica (foxtail millet). Its description in RNAcentral is "long non-coding RNA (SITA_LNC003464)". The record is from RNAcentral. Lineage: Eukaryota; Viridiplantae; Streptophyta; Magnoliopsida; Poales; Poaceae.
CUUAGUCAAAACAAAGAUGGAUAUCAGUUUUUUCAGCUUGAAGAUCAUCCAAGGAAAAGGCAAAGGGUUUGGGCGGAGGUGCCCAUAAAAAUCAGUGAUGCAGAUAAGCUUCUGGAUAAUCCACCCAAGCCAACUGAUGAGGUAGUCUCUGGACAGAUCCCAAUGGAAAUCAUGCAUGGUUGGGGAAUUGACUGCAAUGUCGCUCCUAAGGAGCUGACAAAAGAUGCCCUUAUGGAAGGGCAACCAUCCUAGGUGAACCCAUGAAGAUACAACAUAUGGAAGCUCUGUGCAGGAAGACAUCUUUUGGUAAUGAUCAUUUUGCAAGAUGGCAACGCUUACCUGCAGUCUCUUUAAUUUUUGUUAUGUCUUUGUUUGUGUUUUGUGGUUGCUACUUAGUCCAAACCUAUUUUAGUCCUUUU